This 1208-nucleotide long non-coding RNA is filed under the name Heterocephalus glaber (naked mole-rat). RNAcentral's name for it is "lncRNA (ENSHGLG00000048566.1)". Lineage: Eukaryota; Metazoa; Chordata; Mammalia; Rodentia; Bathyergidae. The record is from RNAcentral.
GGAAACCAGGAUGGAGGGAGAAAGGACUGCUCGGCAGAGACCCCUUUUCCCUGGACCCCGGCAGUAAAGCUUUCCUUAGUGGAAUGAAAUGACCCUGACAGAUUGGGGCCUGUGUGGAGGACUCAAGAGCCUGGGGGCAUGCCAGGGGACCCAGAGUCUGCUGUGACCCGCUAGGUGUUUGGCCUAAGCCCCAGGCCCCCAGGGAACUCUGGCCGGACCUCAGCCACCCAGUCCCAACCCCUAACCACAGACAGGAGUCUGGAGACUGAAGAUCAGACGGGGGUGCCCCUCUUGACCCCCCCCCCCCCACUCCCCUUCUCUCCCUGAGCACCUGUGUGCUUCCCUGCCUGGGACGGUGUUUCUGUACCCAGAUACCCUCUGCCACGAUAAAGGGGCUGUUCCGCUAUGAGACUGCCAUUCUUCCGUGUCAGUUUUGUAUGCACACACGUGGACACACACGCACACAUAUGCACACACACACCAGACAGGAUAGAAAGAAGCAAGAACAACAGCAAAAUAAGACACCAAAAUAGCUGUGUGACCUUGGGCAAGUCGCUGUUAUCUCCCUGCCCCUAGCCUUGGUCACAGGAUUCCUUGGGCCCUUCCCUGCUCUGAAAGCCAAGGAAUCCCUAAGACAGAGAGCCACCAAGGCAGAGGAGGAGGGAUGGGCGGGAGCAGACAGAUGGGUACCCACAGCAAGUGGGUGCUGCUCCCAAGUGCAGCCUGGGCUGGCCAUCAGCCUCCUGUCUGUGAAGUCCUCCAAGACACCCCUUGCUCCGCCUCCCUUCAGAGCUUACUCUCUGCUCCUCGCCCCACACCAGCGAGAGACCUUACCGUGGGGUCCCCGAAGUCCUGGGAGGUGGGCAGGCGCAUGACACAGGUUGGCCGAGUGCACAGUCCUCCUCUCUCUGUGCCUGCGUGGGUUUGCUCGGUCUAAUGGGAUGCUCCUGACACCCCUCCCAGCCCACACACACCGCACACACAAUGAACUGCAAACAUCGGGUAGCUGAGGCUGCUUGUGGCAGGAGGAGCGUGGAGCUGAGCCUCUGGGGCUUGGAGCAGCCCGCUGGCCCCGGAGGGAAGGCACAUUUUGGAUUCACUGCCAGCUUCCUUUCAUUCACAGCCACCAUUAAUUAGGUGGUCUUCUUGCAGCAGGUCACGCCCAGCAGCUCAGGGCACUGUACAAAGCCCAGCCACAGGGGCCUGGC